Molecule: ribosomal RNA, 497 nt
Filed under: uncultured bacterium
Lineage: Bacteria
Description: partial 16S ribosomal RNA
Rfam family: Bacterial small subunit ribosomal RNA
Source: RNAcentral
GAUGAACGCUGGCGGCGUGCCUAAUACAUGCAAGUCGAGCGAACGGACGAGAAGCUUGCUUCUCUGAUGUUAGCGGCGGACGGGUGAGUAACACGUGGAUAACCUACCUAUAAGACUGGGAUAACUUCGGGAAACCGGAGCUAAUACCGGAUGAUAUUUUGAACCGCAUGGUUCAAAAGUGAAAGACGGUCUUGCUGUCACUUAUAGAUGGAUCCGCGCUGCAUUAGCUAGUUGGUAAGGUAACGGCUUACCAAGGCAACGAUGCAUAGCCGACCUGAGAGGGUGAUCGGCCACACUGGAACUGAGACACGGUCCAGACUCCUACGGGAGGCAGCAGUAGGGAAUCUUCCGCAAUGGGCGAAAGCCUGACGGAGCAACGCCGCGUGAGUGAUGAAGGUCUUCGGACCGUAAAACUCUGUUAUUAGGGAAGAACAAAUGUGUAAGUAACUGUGCACAUCUUGACGGUACCUAAUCAGAAAGCCACGGCUAACUACGUG